RNAcentral lists this ribosomal RNA (632 nucleotides) under uncultured bacterium. RNAcentral's name for it is "bacterial SSU rRNA". It matches the Rfam family "Bacterial small subunit ribosomal RNA", at positions 552 to 1164 of the family's 1533-position model. The record is from RNAcentral.
UCCUGGGCGUAAGUGUCGCGUAGGCGGCUUUUCGCAUCUUGCUUAAAAUGGCCUCGCUUAACGAGGUCUCGGGUAAGAGAUGGGAAAGCUAGAGUAUUGGUGGGGUUUCUGGAACUUCAGGUGUAGCAGUGAAAUGCGUUGAUAUCUGAAGGAACACCGAGAGCGAAGGCAGGAAACCAAUCAAUUACUGACGCUGAGGCACGACAGCUAGGGGAGCGAAGCAGAUUAGAGACCUGCGUAGUCCUAGCCGUAAACGCAUGGAUGCUAGUUGCUCGAUCCGCUGAGAUUCUAAUCAAUUUUAGAGUCUGAGCGGAUUGAGUGACGCAAGCUAACGCGUUAAGCAUCCCGCCUGGGGAGUACGAUCGCAAGAUUAAAACUCAAAGGAAUUGGCGGGGACCCGCACAACCGGUGGAGCAUGUGGUUUAAUUCGAGACGAAGCGAAAAACCUCACCACGAUUCGACAUCUUACCGUUUUAGUUCCUCAGAAAUGAGGAAUGAUCCGCAAGGAUGGUAAGAAAGCUGCUGCAUGGCUGUCGUCAGCUCGUACCGUGAGGUGUUCCCUUAAGUGGGGUAACGAGCGCAACCCUUGUCGUUUGUUACAUAUUCAAACGAGACCGCCUAGGCAUUUGCUU